GAUGAACGCUGGCGGCGUGCCUAAAACAUGCAAGUCGAGCGAACGGACGAGAAGCUUGCUUCUCUGAUGUUAGCGGCGGACGGGUGAGUAACACGUGGAUAACCUACCUAUAAGACUGGGAUAACUUCGGGAAACCGUAGCUAAUACCGGAUAAUAUUUUGAACCGCAUGGUUCAAAAGUGAAAGACGGUCUUGCUGUCACUUAUAGAUGGAUCCGCGCUGCAUUAGCUAGUUGGUAAGGUAACGGCUUACCAAGGCAACGAUGCAUAGCCGACCUGAGAGGGUGAUCGGCCACACUGGAACUGAGACACGGUCCAGACUCCUACGGGAGGCAGCAGUAGGGAAUCUUCCGCAAUGGGCGAAAGCCUGACGGAGCAACGCCGCGUGAGUGAUGAAGGUCUUCGGAUCGUAAAACUCUGUUAUUAGGGAAGAACAUAUGUGUAAGUAACUGUGCACAUCUUGACGGUACCUAAUCAGAAAGCCACGGCUAACUACGUG
Molecule: ribosomal RNA, 497 nt
Filed under: uncultured bacterium
Lineage: Bacteria
Description: partial 16S ribosomal RNA
Rfam family: Bacterial small subunit ribosomal RNA
Source: RNAcentral